This 642-nucleotide ribosomal RNA is filed under the name Escherichia coli. RNAcentral describes it as "partial 23S ribosomal RNA". It matches the Rfam family "Bacterial large subunit ribosomal RNA", at positions 2259 to 2895 of the family's 2925-position model. Lineage: Bacteria; Pseudomonadati; Pseudomonadota; Gammaproteobacteria; Enterobacterales; Enterobacteriaceae. The record is from RNAcentral.
UGGUGGGUAGUUUGACUGGGGCGGUCUCCUCCUAAAGAGUAACGGAGGAGCACGAAGGUUGGCUAAUCCUGGUCGGACAUCAGGAGGUUAGUGCAAUGGCAUAAGCCAGCUUGACUGCGAGCGUGACGGCGCGAGCAGGUGCGAAAGCAGGUCAUAGUGAUCCGGUGGUUCUGAAUGGAAGGGCCAUCGCUCAACGGAUAAAAGGUACUCCGGGGAUAACAGGCUGAUACCGCCCAAGAGUUCAUAUCGACGGCGGUGUUUGGCACCUCGAUGUCGGCUCAUCACAUCCUGGGGCUGAAGUAGGUCCCAAGGGUAUGGCUGUUCGCCAUUUAAAGUGGUACGCGAGCUGGGUUUAGAACGUCGUGAGACAGUUCGGUCCCUAUCUGCCGUGGGCGCUGGAGAACUGAGGGGGGCUGCUCCUAGUACGAGAGGACCGGAGUGGACGCAUCACUGGUGUUCGGGUUGUCAUGCCAAUGGCACUGCCCGGUAGCUAAAUGCGGAAGAGAUAAGUGCUGAAAGCAUCUAAGCACGAAACUUGCCCCGAGAUGAGUUCUCCCUGACUCCUUGAGAGUCCUGAAGGAACGUUGAAGACGACGACGUUGAUAGGCCGGGUGUGUAAGCGCAGCGAUGCGUUGAGCUAAC